AGGGGCCCUAAUGUGACCGAUCAGCUCUGAGCUGUCCUGAGUCCAGUCACAGGGUUUGCUGUGCAUUGGGCCUUCCUGUGGUUAUUUGGUGCCCAUGGAAUGAAACUCUCUCGUUCCCUCUCCCUCUUCUUCCUCCCCCACCCCUGUGUGUGUGUGUGUGUGUAUGUCUAUGUAUGUCUCUGUGUGUGUCUGUGUGUGUAUGUCUAUGUGUCUGUGUGUGUGUAUGUGUGUAUGUCUGUGUGUAUGUAUGUGUGUAUAUGUGUGUGCCUGUGUGUGUAUGUGUGUCUGUGUGUGUAUGUCUGUGUGUGUGUGUGUAUGUCUGUGUAUGUAUGUGUGUGUGUCUGUAUGUGUCUGUGUGUGUGUAUGUCUCUGUGUGUGUAUGUGUGUAUAUGUAUAUGUGUGUGUGUAUGUGUGUGUGUGUGUGUGUGUGAAACCACUGUUCUAACCUUCUCCCUGUCAGGCAUCUGCCCCUUUCAUUAUUGUGUCUUGCUGGGUGUACUUGGGUAUACUGGACUUCCUCACCAACAUCUGGGUGAGUGGCCACUGUCUCAGGGGGGAAGUCACCAAGAGCAAGAUGAACUCUAAGACCUGGGGGAAGCCAUCUUCUAAAUUAGAAAAACAAACAAACCCACACCAGCCUUGGGCCCACCUACACUUGCUGAUGCAAUUUCCAAUUAUGCAUUUAUCUGCAUGCAAAUGUCUAUGAUGCAAUCCCAAGUCUGUUCACUGACCCCAUGACCCCCUCUUGAUUCCUAUGUAGUGACCGAUACCCUACCCCUGCCUAGGGUUUUUUUUUUUUUUUUCUAUUUUGAGUUUCCAUGGAAAAUCUGAAAACUGUAUGCUAUGUGGCUCGUGGAGAGGCUGAGUAGCUGGCGCAGGCAGUGGCUGGGCAGGCUGGCUGCUGGAAGAGUCAUCACUGGGCUUCCUGAGGCUGAAGGCUGUUACAGGCUCUAUGUCUUAGCUGACAACUCUAUAUGUCAGUCCCAGGGCUGUCCCAACCACAGGCCCUCAGGCUCCAGCUAAGGUGCUCUCCCUACAAACACCACUUGGAUAUUGCUGUAUCAAUCAAUUAACACUUAUUUACAGGGUACCUUGUGAGUGCAAAGCACUAUGGGAAAAUCAGCAGAGAUGUACAAAUCAUAUCCUGCCUUUGCCAGCUCUUCUGGUUACUGUUGGGCAGCCUUUCACCGGACAGUGAGGAUCGACUGCCAUCUGUAAAGGGGAGAGCACCCACAGAUGCUGGCAGCAGACCAGAGGUGUAAGAAGGGAAAACCCAGUCAGGUUAGGCUAGAGGCCUUUCAGGCAGGCUCCUUCUCUCUGAUGGGGCAGCCUGCAAGAGACUGGAGCUGCCCUUGGGAGGUUACCUGGCUGUAUAUAUGAGAGAGGACUUUCCGCCUCUUCAUUCUGUUUCCCAGGGCCAAUUCCCUGCGUGGCUGGUUUCUUCAGAACUAUGCAGGCCUGCCUUUGGUGAGGGGGAGUAGGUGGCUGAGUUCUACCAGCUGGCUACUCCCAAGGAGAGUAACUAAGGGUUUCCAGCCCUCAGAGAGGACACUAAUUGGAUAAUUCAUGGGGCAGCUGAAAAAAACCAGCUCAGCUGUCUUUUGAAAGACUUUUUACAUUUUUUAAAAGUGCAGGCUGGCAUGGAAACAUGAGAUGAAAUCAUGCUAUGGCCUAAUAGUGUUUAUCUUUGAAGGGUGGAAUUACAGGUGACGUUUUCCUUCCAUCUUCUAAGGUCUCUACAUUAAUUAUGCAUUAGCUUUGGAGAAAGCAUUGCAUACCGGUCUUUAUGUCCAAUAUGGGAAAAUGGAGGGUCUUCCUGUUCUGUGCUUAAGUCAGGAAGGAGCCAGCUUUGGGGCUCUGGCUGCUAUGCACAGAGAGGAGUACUGUCUUUGGUCAAACCUGUCCCUAGAAAUGCCUGGGGCUGCCUGGGUGGAGUCUGCCCAGUGAACCUCACAGGCUUUCCUACUUUGCCGUCUCUCUGGUGCCUUAAUGGAAAGGCAGUUUCCAAACACAGAGCAAAAUCUAUUGACAGAGUCCCUGGGCCUAAACCAGCAGCCACCACACAGAGUAUGGAGAGGCUGACUGGUCUCAGGGACAACCCUACCACGAGAUCACAUUUUUGGAAUCUCUGAACACAAACUCUAAUUUAUUGCUGUCUGGAUCAUCCUCCCAGACAGAAUCCAUCCGUCCAAUUCUGGCACAGAUGUGUUUGAGGCAUAAUGGAAAAUGAAAAGAGAGGUUGCAAUUUAGAGCCACUGGGCAAUGGGGAAAAAAUCCACCCUUGCUCAUCCAAUCCCCCAACCCCAAACCACAUAGACACGGCUUUCCUCUCUCGGUCAAGGAAACUAUGGCUUAGUGGAAUGUCAUCAUGGAGUGGCAGGGAAUCCUCCCAGAAUGCUGUGGGCUGUUAGGGAUGUGUGGGUGAGGAGUGUUCCAGGGCCAGAACAGUCUCUGCUUUGGAAGGAGGCGCAGCAGCCACUGUGUAGCUCUUCGGUCCUUCUGCAUGCUCUAGACCUGUCAGGUCAGGAGAUGCUACUUUUGCUGCACUUGGGUCGGUGAACCAUACACUGGAAACUUUUUCACGGGGGGGCAAGAGAAAUCAUGCUAUCCCCUAGUCACACUAGCCAAGGAAGCAAGUCUACUUGUUACUGUGGGCAUUCCCUACAGCAGAGGAUGCUCUGACCCAGCACUCAAGGCAAACUUUCAGGCCUCCUUAGUCAAAAGCUUUAACGUCCCCUGCAAUGCUUUUAAUUUUGGCCCAUUCUGCUUUUAAUAUCGACAUUCUGUACUGAUACUCAGGGAAAGCUGAAGCAAGCAAGAAAUGGGCAAGUGCUCCUUCUCCAUUCUCUUCUUGCCCCCAGUUUUACCUCCCUUCACUUCUUUUCUUCUUCCAUGCAUAUUUGGUAAUAGUCAACCAUGGUCCAACCCAGGCCAGGCCCUGUGCUCCACGUUGGAGACGUGUAGGACAUCCACAUAAAGCGAGCCGUGCAAUAAGAUGUAGGCUGUGUGCGGAGGGGGAGGAGUGCACAUUAUCAAGGGAGGGCACAGGGCACCGGCAGGUGGCAGUCAUCCUCGUUCUGAUAAACGCCUUGAAGAACGAGUCAUAUUUCACAGAGCAGCAAAGAAUUAGUGGGAUGAGGAAACCUGAGGCAGAAGGAACUGCACAGGGGAAAGAGCCAUUUCUACCCUCCAUCCACGCUAUGCUGACAAAGAGGCCAGCACUGGGGAAUACAUUGUGUCAUCAUCACAGGAGUGUGGGGGCAGCCAUGGCUCAUGGUUUCUGCUUAGCCUACAUCGUCCUGGGAGGAGAGAUAGGAACUCAGCUCUCCUGACUGAGUGAGCAAGAGCCUGAAUGUGCUUGGCUGCCAAACACAGUGAGCAGCCCCAGAGAAAUGCUCAGGAGAGCCACAGAGAGGACGCCAAGGGACGGCAAAGACUCGAGGGCCAGUGAGAAUCGCUAUAGUCAGAGAACACUGCUGAGGGCUGCUCUGCUUCUAGGGUAGACAUUACUUCCAGCAUCCCUAGGAGAAUUGGAGAAAAAACACCACUGCUCUUGCAGAAAUGGACUUUUCUUCUUAUAUUCAUUCGUCCAUUUUGUAUGGAAGGGGGAACAUGCAUGUGCCACAGCACGUAUGUAGACGUCAAAGGACGAUGUGUGGGAGUCCGUAGUCUCCUGCCACCAUGUGGGUCCUGGGGAUUGAACUCAGAUCAUGAGACUUGGUUGCAAACACCCUCACCUGCUGCAGCACCUCACUGGCCCUGGAACGGACUUCUCAUACAAUGGGGUGAGCUCCAUGGUAACGACUAAGAGCAAGUUAAUUAAAAAUACUAAAAACAACCAGGGCAGUGGAGGUGUACACCUUCAAUGUCAGCACACGUGAGACAGAGGCAGGGGGACCUUUGUGAGGCAGAGGCCAGCCUGGUCUAUAGAAUGAGUCCUGGACCAGCCAGAGCUGCAUAGCAAGACUCUGUCUUAAAUAGGAACAAGAAAAUCAAAAGGAAGGAAGGAAAUGCUAUAAAAUAGGGUAGGUUUGGGGAACACAGGUGAACCAACAGCAUAAAAUAAAAGGGGGAAGGUGACUAGAACACCUCAAGGACCAGAUGGGGCCCCAGAAGCCAUCACCGAACAGGACAAUCACAGACAUUCUCUGUGGGCAAGUUAUUCCAACAGCUACCAAUGAGCUAGAGAGUUUGCCGGACACAGAACACUGUCCCGGUGUCUUUAGAGAAGAAGUUUAUGGUCUCAAUCCCAGGGGCAAAAAGGAUGGAAGACAGAUUCAAAGUCUUUUGAAGCAAAAAAGAUGGACAGAAAGUUCCUAUCAGUAGCAUCUCUCUGUAGAACACAAGCCCUUCAAAACAGCUCAUGCAGGUCAAUUGUAUUUUACAGGUUCAAUUGUUCUCUCUCUCUCUCUCUCUCUCUCUCUCUCUCUCUCUCUCUCUCUCUCUCUCUUUCUCUCUUGUUCUGAAUUGCAAACAAGGAAGGUUCAUCCAGCUGCCACAGUAUUGAGAUCAGAAUACAAAUACUACUCCCUAUGUGGGUUUCCCAGCAUGCACAGCCUUCCCCUCCUGACACAGCCACCUGCAUGACAAGGAGCAUAUGCAUGCUGCUACUCAGCUCUCUGCUGAAGAGACCCAGUAGAGAGGAUCCUUUCAGGCCCCAAAGCAUCCCCAGCAGGAGUUAUAGCCAAGCAUGAGUGUUUACACCCAGGUGGGAGACAACGGAAGGGGCCUCAAUGCCUGAGUCAGGCUCCCUGUCUUCUCUCAUGUGGUGACAUCUGUUUUUGCUGUUUCGUGAGCCAGAAUGUUCUUCUGCACUGCCCACAGAAGGCUAACUCCCCCUUCCUCUCAGGUCACUUCCUUGGGGAAGCCUGUCCUGGCCUAGAUAUGCGUGUUGUGUCGUUUCAUAGCUCACAUAACUAUUGCUAUUUAAAUGUUUCUGGGAUUGAAAGGCCCGAGAUCUGUGAGAGCUCUCAGUUGUUGGCUGCUAAGUGUUUCCUCUCUGCCUUGUAGGACCGGCUGAGGUGGGGCAGGGGAGCAGAGGCGCCAGUCAUUCAGUUGUGAAAUGAACUGUUUUCUCCUUAAACCCACAUUCAGAAAGCUCCCCUCAGCAUGAUGGUUCUUGAAGCUAGGACCUUGCUAGGUAUGUGUGUGCUGGUAAUCAGUGCUAGAAAACUAUGCUGGAGGUGCUCGGCUUCCCCACAGGAAAAGAAGACACACAUCUGCACUGGCUGCCAGGUUCCCUUAGCUUCAGGGCUGUGUGCUGGAACCACUCACGCUCACAAAAAGUAAAGCUGCAUGCACGGCCUCCUAGGCAAGGCUUGCACACUCCAUAUGGCUACCACAACACACAGACAUGCUGCCCCUCAAGGAAAGACGAACAAAACCAGCCCUAUGUUCUUGCUUCACCAUAGCAAAAGCUGUGCACACAAACCCGGCUCAUCGCUCUUCUCCAUUUUGGGAUGAAGCCACAUAAAGUUGAAAAUGAGGCUUCUAUUCUAGAGUCUCCAUUAACUGCUUUCAAGCUAAUACUUGCUCAUGGUGGCAACGCAUGCCCCGGAUGGAGUCAUAAUGAGCACUCGUGAUUCCUGAUCCGAUUGAAGCCCCAUUAUGCCUCAGCUUUGCGGCAGGCAGAUGUCACAAGCUCAUUUGCUUUGGAAGAUGACACUAAUUUGUUCAAAGUGGAAAACCGGCUCCCAAGACUUUCAUCGAGUUAUACAGCGAAAGCAAGGCCAGGAUUCAGACAGUACUUUAUCAAGAGCAAGGAUUAUUAUUCUUUAACCAGAAAAAACCUACAAGGGCUGAAUAGCAUCUGACAUUCACAUCAAAUGGCCUCACAGGAACCUGGUUGCUCUGUCCUUGACAUCGGGACCAGGUAUAGACUAGGAAGAAGAACUGCUGUGACAACAGAUGCUGACCAGGUUGUUUGGAAGUGGCUGAUAGCUUCUGUGUCUCCAGUGUGAUUUGCCCUCUAUUCCUUCAUAAAGGCAAGCUUGUGCUUCCUUCAGACCCAUGCACAGUGCCACCCAGAUCCCUGAAAGAUGUGACCACGUUAUGUGACAGCUCAGAAUCUUUCCUUCAAGCCAGCUCCGCAGUUUCAGCCGCCCUUUCCCAAGCACAGCUGAAUUGGUGCAGAAGCCGGAGGCAACAGAAGGAAGAGGGGGCAGUUGAUGGAUGAAUUCUGAGAAGGAGAUUCCACCUGAACAGAUUGGCUAAGUGUCUUGACAGAAGGGAAUCUGACUCUUGGCUCCACUACCAACUGCAUGAGGCUUCAGCCCCUCAGUUUCUUUAGUUUACAAAGAAGGCUACAUCUUUCCUGGCCUGGAAGUAAAACGAGGGUGUCUAUGCAGUCUUGGUGAACUGUGAAGAGAUGCUCACAGGGAUGGCUCUCUGGCAUCCUUCCGGUGAGUUUUCUUGCUCCCUCCAUUACUUUCCUGCUUCCUGAGUCUCUUCUUGAGCGGUAUGACUGUAGUUUAAAUGUUAGGCCAGGGAGCCCAGGAAAUCUAGUUCCCAGCAAGAAUUACAAACCUUCACCUCCUAAGUGAGAGACUACGUGAGCAGUGACUCAGAGCAGCGGGAGGAGCAGCCAGCCCAGACAGAAGGCUUUGAAGAGUCUUCAGGCCCAAGAGUGCCUUCUCCAAUGGGUGUGUGUCAGGGAGCUGGAACAAGACCAAUCUAAGCUGUGGUUUGUCUCAGAGAGAAAUUUUGGAGACUGGAUUAUUAUUGGGUGGCUGGUUAACAUCAGUUAACUAGACAAGGCACUCAGAUGGCGGCACUUAAGAUCUCAGCAACAACAACAAUAAAACAUUGAAGGUAUUACAGUAAAAGGAGGCUGCUGUCCUGCAAAUGAACUCAUAGGAAAUCAGAUUUUCUGAACUUGAUACUACUGAUCACAAGAGGCAGUUUUCGGAGCUCUGUAAACUUCCACAUGGAUGGGCUUGUCCUUGUGAGAAGAGACCAAGAAACUCCAGAAAUCUACAAACAGCAACAGAAAGGAACGUGUGGCCUCUCGGGACUCACCCCUACCAUCACAGACUUUCCCUAACAUUUCUCUUUUAACUCUGACUCCAGGAAAGAGAUCUGGAAGCUGAGCAGUCCCGUGCCAGACUCUGCCCUCCUGAGUUAUAAACAUUGGAUUAUUACGAUGCGUUUCCUGCAUGUGUCUUCCAUGUGGCUCAGGCCUCCUGUUUCCUGUGAGAUGCUCCCUUCUCACAUAGCUCUCCUGUCAUUCAGCUAAAACAGACCAAGGAGCUGCAAAAUUCCAGUUCUUUCCUUCAUUUGGCUUAAAAUCCCCCCAAAGACUUUAUUCCCUUGUUGGGUUUCUUUUCAGUUUCUUACCUCUACCACGCUGUAAGAUCUGCCAAGGUGGGAGGUAUCUGUUUUCUGUGAAGUGAUACUGGAGGGAGGUGGCCAGGACAUUCUGCUGGUGGCCGAGGUCACCUCCUUCACUGAAUGCAUGUUCUAAUGGCACUGGGGCGGGGCUCACAAAAGGGGGACUGGAAUGUUUUCUUUCCUUUUUAUGAUCCAUUUCAAUUCAUCCCAUUCUGAGAUCUCCCACCCCAGCCGUCUCUAAGCCCUCACUUCUUAGGGAAAGCACACAGAAUGUCCGUUUUCCUUUGCCUGUGGGAGUCUGUUCUGAGAGUCAAUUAAUUUCAGUAUAAAUGAGUCUGGGGCUCAGUCUUUGGUUACUGUGUCAGGGCUUCCUACUCCUGCAGCUUGAUGCUGCUUGGACACACAAAUUGUUAACUUUACAAGUUUGCAAUCACAAUCUUCUCUCUCUUGAGUCUCAUAUGAAACCCAUUUCCUUGGGAAUUGACCGAUGACCUCUGCCCUCUCGCCUCAAUUGCUUAAAGGCCCCUCACUCUCUUUUUCCUUGGCCUUCAACUCCAGAUACUAGAAGGUGAGCUGAACUUCAAAGGGCAGCCAGCCAGAUGUCUUCCUUUCCUUCCUCCCCCUGUGAGGGACCGGCUUCCUCUCUUUUGUCUGAGCUCUGGGUAUGAUUUCAGGUAUUCCUACUUCUGUGUCCCAGGCUGUCCACAGUGUGGUGCCCAGAUGCCUGGGCCGGAGACUCUAACUGGUGUGAUUUGCUUCAGGGACUUGACAACACUCCUUGUUAUUUGUGAUGUUCUAAUGUGAAUAUGGGUGUGCGCGUGCACAUGUACAUGUGUGGAGGUGUGUGUGUCCUCUAUCAACAGCAGCAGGUCUGUGCUGUCCAAAACAGCAGCCUCAAGCCAUAGCUAGCAACUAAGCUGUUAGAGCCCUUGAACUAGAGUAUAGAUUAUUUCAAUAAAUUUUACACAAUCUAGAAAUAUGAAUCAUUUGAUAGAAUGCUUGCUU
Rattus norvegicus (Norway rat) is the source of this 8334-nucleotide non-coding RNA. NCBI's taxonomy places the organism in Eukaryota, Metazoa, Chordata, Mammalia, Rodentia, Muridae. The record is from RefSeq and is a predicted model, not a curated record.